This 469-nucleotide ribosomal RNA is filed under the name uncultured bacterium. Its description in RNAcentral is "bacterial SSU rRNA". It matches the Rfam family "Bacterial small subunit ribosomal RNA", at positions 335 to 796 of the family's 1533-position model. The record is from RNAcentral.
ACUCCUACGGGAGGCAGCAGUGGGGAAUCUUGGACAAUGGGGGCAACCCUGAUCCAGCCAUGCCGCGUGUGUGAAGAAGGCCCUAGGGUUGUAAAGCACUUUCAGUAGUGAGGAAGGCUUCGGGUUAAUAACCUGGAGUACUUGACGUUAGCUACAGAAGAAGCACCGGCUAAUUUCGUGCCAGCAGCCGCGGUAAUACGAAAGGUGCGAGCGUUAAUCGGAAUUACUGGGCGUAAAGCGCGCGUAGGCGGUUAGUUAAGUCGGAUGUGAAAGCCCAGGGCUCAACCUUGGAACUGCAUCCGAUACUGGCUAGCUAGAGUGCAGUAGAGGGAGGUGGAAUUUCCGGUGUAGCGGUGAAAUGCGUAGAGAUCGGAAGGAACACCAGUGGCGAAGGCGGCCUCCUGGACUGACACUGACGCUGAGGUGCGAAAGCGUGGGGAUCAAACAGGAUUAGAAACCCCAGUAGUCC